RNAcentral lists this ribosomal RNA (497 nucleotides) under uncultured bacterium. RNAcentral describes it as "partial 16S ribosomal RNA". It matches the Rfam family "Bacterial small subunit ribosomal RNA", at positions 28 to 507 of the family's 1533-position model. The record is from RNAcentral.
GAUGAACGCUGGCGGCGUGCCUAAUACAUGCAAGUCGAGCGAACGGACGAGAAGCUUGCUUCUCUGAUGUUAGCGGCGGACGGGUGAGUAACACGUGGAUAACCUACCUAUAAGACUGGGAUAACUUCGGGAAACCGGAGCUAAUACCGGAUAAUAUUUUGAACCGCAUGGUUCAAAAGUGAAAGACGGUCUUGCCGUCACUUAUAGAUGGAUCCGCGCUGCAUUAGCUAGUUGGUAAGGUAACGGCUUACCAAGGCAACGAUGCAUAGCCGACCUGAGAGGGUGAUCGGCCACACUGGAACUGAGACACGGUCCAGACUCCUACGGGAGGCAGCAGUAGGGAAUCUUCCGCAAUGGGCGAAAGCCUGACGGAGCAACGCCGCGUGAGUGAUGAAGGUCUUCGGAUCGUAAAACUCUGUUAUUAGGGAAGAACAUAUGUGUAAGUAACUGUGCACAUCUUGACGGUACCUAACCAGAAAGCCACGGCUAACUACGUG